GGCAUCCAUCUAAAGAGAUGCCACCUUCAACGACUUUAUGUACUCCCAGAGCUAGCUAAACUUCCAAAAUAAAACAGCUUCCAUACAGUUUGAGACCUGGCUGAGUUCUCAUAGUGGAUAGUCACCAGUUUGCUGUGAAUGGACCCAAUCUUUGGAUUCCACACCCUUCCAAGUCAGGGGGGUCUAGAAAACAAAGUGAAAGAACAGAAACUCCAUCUUGUGGCAUCAUGCAGACACCCAGAUGCGUCAUCAGCAACAUUGGAACCUGGUUGGAAU
Long non-coding RNA from Chelonia mydas (Green sea turtle), 276 nucleotides. RefSeq lists it as uncharacterized. The record is from RefSeq and is a predicted model, not a curated record. NCBI's taxonomy places the organism in Eukaryota, Metazoa, Chordata, Testudines, Cheloniidae. The transcript has 3 exons.